UAAGGUUCUUGUAGUUGAAUGA
This 22-nucleotide transfer RNA is filed under the name Xiphophorus xiphidium (swordtail platyfish). Its description in RNAcentral is "partial tRNA-Glu". Lineage: Eukaryota; Metazoa; Chordata; Actinopteri; Cyprinodontiformes; Poeciliidae. The record is from RNAcentral.